UCAAACUUGGUCAUUUAGAGGAAGUAAAAGUCGUAACAAGGUUUCCGUAGGUGAACCUGCGGAAGGAUCAUUAUUGAUUAAACUUGAUGGAUUGUUGCUGGCUCUGUAAAGGGCACUGUGCACGUCUAUCAUUUUUAAAUAUCCACCAAUGUGCACUUUGGCAUAGAUAUCUGAAGAGGGGGAAUUGCUGUUGUAAAGCGGCUCUUUCUGUUUUGUUUCAGAGUCUAUGCAAAUUUAUAAACUCUAAUGUAUGUUAAUGAACGUGUAUCAAAGGGCUUGAAAACCCUUAUAGAUAUUUAUACAACUUUCAGCAAUGGAUCUCUUGGCUCUCGCAUCGAUGAAGAACGCAGC
RNAcentral lists this unclassified non-coding RNA (351 nucleotides) under uncultured fungus. Its description in RNAcentral is "partial contains small subunit ribosomal RNA, internal transcribed spacer 1, and 5.8S ribosomal RNA". The stretch from base 1 to 73 matches the Rfam family "Eukaryotic small subunit ribosomal RNA", at positions 1759 to 1831 of the family's 1831-position model. The record is from RNAcentral. Lineage: Eukaryota; Fungi.